AACGAACGCUGGCGGCAUGCCUAACACAUGCAAGUCGAACGAGACCUUCGGGUCUAGUGGCGCACGGGUGCGUAACGCGUGGGAAUCUGCCCUUGGGUUCGGAAUAACAGUUGGAAACGACUGCUAAUACCGGAUGAUGACGUAAGUCCAAAGAUUUAUCGCCCAAGGAUGAGCCCGCGUAGGAUUAGCUAGUUGGUGAGGUAAAGGCUCACCAAGGCGACGAUCCUUAGCUGGUCUGAGAGGAUGAUCAGCCACACUGGGACUGAGACACGGCCCAGACUCCUACGGGAGGCAGCAGUGGGGAAUAUUGGUCAAGGGGCGAAAGCCUGAUCCAGCAAUGCCGCGUGAGUGAUGAAGGCCUUAGGGUUGUAAAGCUCUUUUACCCGGGAUGAUAAUGACAGUACCGGGAGAAUAAGCUCCGGCUAACUCCGUG
Molecule: ribosomal RNA, 433 nt
Filed under: uncultured bacterium
Lineage: Bacteria
Description: partial 16S ribosomal RNA
Rfam family: Bacterial small subunit ribosomal RNA
Source: RNAcentral